GGGCCCGCACAAGCAGUGGAGCAUGUGGUUUAAUUCGAUGCAACGCGAAGAACCUUACCAGGGUUUGACAUCCUGCGAAUCUCUUGGAAACAGGAGAGUGCCUUCGGGAACGCAGUGACAGGUGGUGCAUGGCUGUCGUCAGCUCGUGUCGUGAGAUGUUGGUUAAGUCCCGCAACGAGCGCAACCCCUAUCGUUAGUUGCCAGCAUUAAGUUGGGCACUCUAGCGAGACUGCCGGUGAUAAGCCGGAGGAAGGCGGGAUGACGUCAAGUCCUCAUGGCCCUUAUGGGCUGGGCUACACACGUGCUACAAUGGCAGUGACAGAGGGACGCUACCAGGUGACUGG
RNAcentral lists this ribosomal RNA (344 nucleotides) under uncultured bacterium. RNAcentral describes it as "bacterial SSU rRNA". It matches the Rfam family "Bacterial small subunit ribosomal RNA", at positions 917 to 1264 of the family's 1533-position model. The record is from RNAcentral.